RNAcentral lists this ribosomal RNA (267 nucleotides) under uncultured bacterium. RNAcentral describes it as "partial 16S ribosomal RNA". It matches the Rfam family "Bacterial small subunit ribosomal RNA", at positions 793 to 1055 of the family's 1533-position model. The record is from RNAcentral.
GUCCACGCCGUAAACUAUGGGUGCUAGCCGUUGGGAAGCUUGCUUUUCAGUGGCGCAGCUAACGCAUUAAGCACCCCGCCUGGGGAGUACGGUCGCAAGAUUAAAACUCAAAGGAAUUGACGGGGGCCCCGCACAAGCGGUGGAGCAUGUGGUUUAAUUCGAAGCAACGCGCAGAACCUUACCUACCCUUGACAUGUCUAGUAUGGGUUUCAGAGAUGAGAUCCUUCAGUUCGGCUGGCUAGAACACAGGUGCUGCAUGGCUGUCGU